AUCGUUUCUCAGCCUUUUGGCUAAGAUCAAGUGUAGUAUCUGUUCUUAUCAGUUUAAUGUCUGAUAGAUCCUAAACUAUAAGAAAACUAGGUGAACAAAGAAUAGUAU
This is a small nuclear RNA of Monodelphis domestica (gray short-tailed opossum), 108 nucleotides long. Its record names the gene U2. It matches the Rfam family "U2 spliceosomal RNA". Rfam says of the family: U2 is a small nuclear RNA (snRNA) component of the spliceosome (involved in pre-mRNA splicing). NCBI's taxonomy places the organism in Eukaryota, Metazoa, Chordata, Mammalia, Didelphimorphia, Didelphidae. The record is from Ensembl.